RNAcentral lists this ribosomal RNA (480 nucleotides) under uncultured bacterium. RNAcentral's name for it is "bacterial SSU rRNA". It matches the Rfam family "Bacterial small subunit ribosomal RNA", at positions 32 to 507 of the family's 1533-position model. The record is from RNAcentral.
AACGCUGGCGGCAUGCCUUACACAUGCAAGUCGAACGGCAGCACGGAGAGCUUGAUCUCUGGUGGCGAGUGGCGAACGGGUGAGUAAUAUAUCGGGAACGUAUCCAAUAAUGGGGGAUAACGAGUCGAAAGAUUCGCUAAUACCGCAUACGCCCUACGGGGGAAAGCAGGGGAUCGUAAGACCUUGCGUUAAUGGAGCGGCCGAUAUCUGAUUAGCUUGUUGGUGAGGUAAAGGCUCACCAAGGCGACGAUCAGUAGCUGGUUUGAGAGAACGACCAGCCACACUGGAACUGAGACACGGUCCAGACUCCUACGGGAGGCAGCAGUAAGGAAUAUUGGACAAUGGUCGAAAGACUGAUCCAGCCAUCCCGCGUGCAGGAUGACUGCCCUAUGGGUUGUAAACUGCUUUUAUAUGGGAAGAAUAGCAUAGAUUCAUCUGUGUAUGACGGUACCAUAUGAAUAAGCACCGGCUAACUCCGUG